UACAGAGGGUGCGAGCGUUAAUCGGAAUUACUGGGCGUAAAGCGUGCGCAGGCGGUUCGCUAAGACCGAUGUGAAAUCCCCGGGCUUAACCUGGGAACUGCAUUGGUGACUGGCGGGCUAGAGUAUGGCAGAGGGGGGUAGAAUUCCACGUGUAGCAGUGAAAUGCGUAGAGAUGUGGAGGAAUACCGAUGGCGAAGGCAGCCCCCUGGGCCAAUACUGACGCUCAUGCACGAAAGCGUGGGGAGCAAACAGG
Molecule: ribosomal RNA, 253 nt
Filed under: uncultured bacterium
Lineage: Bacteria
Description: partial 16S ribosomal RNA
Rfam family: Bacterial small subunit ribosomal RNA
Source: RNAcentral